UACGUAGGGGGCUAGCGUUAUCCGGAAUUACUGGGCGUGAAGGGUGCGUAGGUGGUUUCUUAAGUCAGAGGUGAAAGGCUACGGCUCAACCGUAGUAAGCCUUUGAAGCUGGGGAACUUGAGUGCAGGAGAGGAGAGUGGAAUUCCUAGUGUAGCGGUGAAAUGCGUAGAUAUUAGGAGGAACACCAGUUGCGAAGGCGGCUCUCUGGACUGUAACUGACACUGAGGCACGAAAGCGUGGGGAGCAAACAGG
This 252-nucleotide ribosomal RNA is filed under the name uncultured bacterium. RNAcentral's name for it is "partial 16S ribosomal RNA". It matches the Rfam family "Bacterial small subunit ribosomal RNA", at positions 524 to 776 of the family's 1533-position model. The record is from RNAcentral.